UACGUAGGGGGCAAGCGUUGUCCGGAAUUAUUGGGCGUAAAGCGCGUGUAGGCGGCCUGGUAAGUCUGGUGUGAAACCUUGGGGCUCAACCCCAAGCCUGCACUGGAUACUGCCUCGCUAGAGUCCGGGAGGGGAGGGCGGAAUUCCUAGUGUAGCGGUGAAAUGCGCAGAUAUUAGGAAGAACACCGGUGGCGAAGGCGGCCCUCUGGAACGGUACUGACGCUAAGACGCGAAAGCGUGGGGAGCGAACAGG
This 253-nucleotide ribosomal RNA is filed under the name uncultured bacterium. RNAcentral describes it as "partial 16S ribosomal RNA". It matches the Rfam family "Bacterial small subunit ribosomal RNA", at positions 524 to 776 of the family's 1533-position model. The record is from RNAcentral.